CCUACGGGAGGCAGCAGUGAGGAAUAUUGGUCAAUGGGCGCGAGCCUGAACCAGCCAAGUAGCGUGAGGGAAGACGGCCCUAUGGAUUGUAAACCUCUUUUAUCGGGGAGUAAAAGUCUCCACGCGUGGCGUUUCGAGAGUACCCGAUGAAUAAGCAUCGGCUAACUCCGUGCCAGCAGCCGCGGUAAUACGGAGGAUCCGAGCGUUAUCCGGAUUUAUUGGGUUUAAAGGGUGCGUAGGCGGAAGAUUAAGUCAGCGGUAAAAUUUUGGGGCUCAACCGCAUCGAGCCGUUGAAAAGGGUGUGCUUGAGUGAGAGCGAAGUAUGCGGAAUGCGGGGUGGAGCGGUGAAAGACAUAGAUAUCACGGAGAACUCCGAUUGGGAAGGCAGGAUAACGGAGCUCUAAUGAAGGUCAAGCACGAAAGUGGGGGUAUCGAACAGGAUUAGAUACCCGAGGAGUC
Molecule: ribosomal RNA, 459 nt
Filed under: uncultured bacterium
Lineage: Bacteria
Description: partial 16S ribosomal RNA
Rfam family: Bacterial small subunit ribosomal RNA
Source: RNAcentral